This is an RNA transcript of Hevea brasiliensis (rubber tree), 3390 nucleotides long. It is a transcript of the gene named putative pentatricopeptide repeat-containing protein At1g12700, mitochondrial, with no coding region annotated. The transcript has 2 exons. Lineage: Eukaryota; Viridiplantae; Streptophyta; Magnoliopsida; Malpighiales; Euphorbiaceae. The record is from RefSeq and is a predicted model, not a curated record.
UAAACAUACAGAGCCCUCUCUCUUUGUCUGAAGAUGUUAAUGUCGGCGCGGAGGAUUUUCACAAGGGCUGGGAGGUUCUUCCACUUUCAACUGCAAACGGAAAUGGGUAUCAUUCAAUCUCCAUCCUUAUUAUUUGCCAAUUACUUUCAUUCUUCUACUUCCAUGCAUGUUCCUAAAGAUGCAAAAUCUCAACGUUUCUUGAGAUCUAAGUUCAAUUCUUCUUCUUUUAGGGACGUUGAUGAUGCCUUAGCUUUCUUUAAUCAUAUCAUUCUUAUGCGUCCUCUGCCUUCUAUUGUUCAGUUUUGUCGAUUUUUAUCUGCCCUUGUGGGGAUGAAACAAUAUCACACGGUCAUCUCUUUGUGCAGAACAAUUGAGUCUCUAGGAAUCUCUCACAGUGUUUAUUCUCUUUCUAUAUUGAUUAACUGUUUCUGCCGAUUACACCUUGUGAAUUUUGGCUUCUCAAUUUUGGGGAAAUUUAUCAAAUUUGGAUUGGAGCCCAAUACUGUGACAUUUACUACCUUAAUUAAUGGGCUCUGCAUAGAUGGUAAAAUCAAUGGAGCAGUAGAUUUUUUCAAUGAUAUGGUUACUGGAGGAUAUCAACCUAAUGUUCAUACCUACAAUGUGAUAGUAAAUGCUCUCUGUAAAUGUGGGAAAACAAAUGUGGCUAUUAAGUUGCUAAAGGGAAUGGGUGAGAGAGGUUGUGAGCCAGAUGUUGUGACAUACAAUGCAAUUAUGGACGCCCUUUGCAAGGAUAAGCUAAUUAUUGAGGCUUUAAACCUCUUCUCCCAAAUGAGGAAUAGAGGCAUUUCACCUAGUGUCAUCACUUACAAUUGCUUAAUUCAAGGUAUUUGCAAUUUGGGCAAAUGGAAUCAAGCUUUGGCCUUGUUGAAAGAAAUGGCGGGGCAAAACAUAUCACCAAACAUUAUUACCUUCAGUAUAUUGAUUGACAAUCUUUGCAAGGAAGGACUGGUUUCAAAAGCUCAAGAAAUAAUGAAAAUAAUGAUCCAACAAGGGGUGAAGCCUGAUGUUGUCACUUACAGUUCUUUGAUGGACGGAUUUUGUCUGUGUAACCAAAUGGAUGAAGCUACAAAAUUAUUUGAUCAUAUGGUAAGCAGUGGCAUAGCUGAUGUCUUUAGCUACAACAUCUUGAUUAAUGGAUACUGCAAGAGCAAAAGGAUAGAUGAAGCAACAAAACUUUUGGAUGAAAUGAUUAAAACUAGUUUAGUUCCCAACUUUGUUACUUAUACUACUCUUAUUAAGGGAUUGUGGGAAGCAGGGCAACCUGGAAUUGCACUAGAAGUUUUCAAGAACAUGUGUUCUCAUGGUCAGCAGCCAGAUAAAGUGACUUUUUCAAUCAUUCUUGAUGGCUUGUGCAAACAAGGGUAUCUUGAUGAGGCACUCACACUAUUUAAAGCGAUGGAAAAAAGUCGGUUGAAGGUUAAUUGUGUGAGCUAUAACAUUUUGAUUAAUGGUAUGUGUAGAGCUGGGAGGCUUACUGAUGCCAAGGAAUUGUUUUCUAGGCUUUUUGAAAAAGGUUUACAACCUGAUGUUUAUACAUAUAGUAUAAUAAUAAAAGGACUUUGCAAUGAAGGUUUACUAGAUGAAGCAUACAAAGUCUUUAGAGGAAUGGAAGAGUGUGGAUGUUUACCGGAUGGUUGCUGUUAUAAUGUGAUUAUUCAAGGGUUUCUCAGGCAUAAAGAUAUACCAGAGGCAACACUACUUAUUGAUGAAAUGGUUGAUAAAGGAUUCUCUGCAGAUGCCACCACCUUUGAAUUGGUAACACAUUUAUUGCGCAAUGACAAUCUCAUUCUGACAAAACUACGAAAUCGUUCCAAAUGUCAUAAAGGUGCAAAUUUUAAGUGAUAUUUUAACAAUCAAGACUUGCUCAACAGAUGGACGAGGUAUUUGUCAUGUUAUGAGUUAUUGGUCCUUUUUUAUUUAGAAAGUAUAAUUAUAUUUGGAAUUCCCUAGCAAGUUGUUCUAUGCUUAAUUCUCUGUGCAUUCACCAAUUUGUCGCCCUUCUUCUAUAUAGGAAAUCAGUGCAAUCAGUGCAUGUGGUGGUUUUUAUCUUGCCAUCAUUGUGUGAUUCCAUAAUCAUAAUUCAUAAUAUGCCUAUUCCCUAAUUUGCAACUUUCUGCAUUAUUUUCGGCAUGAUGAUGCAACUGCAAAAAGUAGAAUAUAGUUUGACAGAAAGAAGGAUAGCUAAAACAUCAAAAGAAUGUUAUGUGUCCAUAGUUAGAUUUAAAGGGUGGAAAAAAAAAAAGUAGUAAGCUUAAGACUGUUAGAUGGUUGAAGUAGAGCACAAAAAUUUCCCUCAUUGGAUUUUGCUUACUGUUGCAAGAAAGUGAACCUUCCAGAAAAUGUCAGAAUAGAUUAUGCAUAGAAUUUGGGUAGCAGAUACUUGCAUUAUAGGUGUUUGUGAUAUAUGUCGAAAUGGUUGCUACAUAAUGUAAUGACAUUUUUUGAUGUAAUAGUAGCUUAAUUUGUAUUUCUAUUUUAUGUGUUUAGCCAUUUGUGUCCUGCAUAUUGACAUUUUUUUUUAUGAGUAGGUUGGAAAUGCCAAGCUUUUUAUUGUUAUUGUGCUGAAUUUGCUCACAUGUUAUUUUUCUUGGCAGGGCCUGUGAACAUAUUGUUCUUCUUCAUUAGAGAGACAUCAUGAGCUUGGUAAAAGAGUUUCCUAUUCUGUUCUGUGGCCUCCUAGCACUUGUGCAGGAUCUAGCUGUUCUGCUCCAGGUACAAGUCCUUGUUCUACCAUUCAAGAACAAGGAACUGCCUUUGAUUUUACAUCUGAUGAUGGUAUAAAUUUUUGAAAAGUCUGGUCCACUUGGGGUGGAAGAGGGUUUAAGGGGCUAAUGGUCAGCAAGAGAAGCGUAGUUUUCUAGGCGUCUGAAUUUGAGAGCUGAAUAUGUUUAGGCAUCCUGAAAUAGGAAGCACUGAUGGAAAAUCUGAAAGCUCUUCUCGUUGAUGGCUCUCUUCUCGGACUGGCCGUUCCUGGCAUGGAAGCUGAUGAAUGCACGAAAUGACCCGAUCUUUAAUGAUAAACAAUGGAAAACACUAGAAGUAUGAAUUAAUCAGUACUCUGAAGCCGAGAAUUGCUUCACCAAUCCAUGAUUAAUGCAGUAAUCUCUAGUAUUAAGAUAAUUCCAAUCUGGACUCACUAGCUGUUGGUUUCAUUAUGAUAAGCUUUGAAAUUCUUACCGUUAGAAGAAGUUGCUAAUAUGCUUAUGAGUCUGUCAUCAAAGAUCUGUUGUUUUUGUCAAUAGAGAAGGAAAUUGGCCAGUUCACAUUUCAAAUUCUAAAUGUUUUGUAGUUUCUUUUAAAUUUUCUCAAGUUGUGAUCAAUAUUCAAGAGAUGAUAUAUAGUAUUGAUGGCAUAUGAAGAUUUCCCUUC